GACGAACGCUGGCGGCGUGCCUAAUACAUGCAAGUAGAACGCUGAAGGAGGAGCUUGCUCUUCUGGAUGAGUUGCGAACGGGUGAGUAACGCGUAGGUAACCUGCCUGGUAGCGGGGGAUAACUAUUGGAAACGAUAGCUAAUACCGCAUAACAGUAGAUGUUGCAUGACAUUUGCUUAAAAGGUGCAAUUGCAUCACUACCAGAUGGACCUGCGUUGUAUUAGCUAGUUGGUGGGGUAACGGCUCACCAAGGCGACGAUACAUAGCCGACCUGAGAGGGGUGUCGGCCAAACUGGGAAUGAGACACGGCCCAGACUCCUACGGGAGGCAGCAGUAGGGAAUCUUCGGCAAUGGACGGAAGUCUGACCGAGCAACGCCGCGUGAGUGAAGAAGGUUUUCGGAUCGUAAAGCUCUGUUGUAAGAGAAGAACGAGUGUGAGAGUGGAAAGUUCACACUGUGACGGUAUCUAACCAGAAAGGGACGGCUAACUACGUG
This 495-nucleotide ribosomal RNA is filed under the name uncultured bacterium. RNAcentral describes it as "partial 16S ribosomal RNA". It matches the Rfam family "Bacterial small subunit ribosomal RNA", at positions 28 to 507 of the family's 1533-position model. The record is from RNAcentral.